Molecule: long non-coding RNA, 2478 nt
Filed under: Setaria italica (foxtail millet)
Lineage: Eukaryota; Viridiplantae; Streptophyta; Magnoliopsida; Poales; Poaceae
Description: long non-coding RNA (SITA_LNC002002)
Source: RNAcentral
AACAUCAUGCACAUAUAUUUGAACUGGAUUGGAUCAUUUCAGAAUAAUUAGUUACCUUCAGAAAUAGGGAUGCCAAUUUCAGUAAUCAUAAUCUUGUUUUUUAUUUAGUAAUGAUGUUGCUAACCAAUUUCAUUUAAUCAUGAACCUUUUAUGUCAUAUUUGUACUCCAUGUCCAAAAAUAUCAUACACGAAUACUAGACUAAUCUAAACAGUUGUGGAAUGGAAUAAUCAUCUGGGUUCAGGAUCAUAGAUGCUAUUUUUUUCUUACUAUCUCUUAUCAACUUUAAUGCUCUAGGCUAUGUUGGAAUUAUCACCACAGCUUAAUGAAUCAAAGAAGAUGGAUGGUUAAUCCUUCUACUGCUGUCCUUUUUCGCAGUAGUUAGAACUGUCUCUUCUGAAGAGCCAAAAGAAUCCUUACUGCACACAUCUCUUUUGCAGCAAACUGUUUCAGCUACUAUAUAAUCUGACAACCUUAUUGCACACAUCUCUUUUGCAGGUUGUUCUUCACCUGACAGGUAAAAGGUCUAAAGCAUCCUUUGCAUAUUGUGUGCAAAUCUUCUUUUCAUAUGUUACUGAUUGUUUCAAAUAUUCUGGUAGCAUCUUUAUGUUAGGCAAAGGACCAACGGUUAUAGGAUUCUUCUGUUGUAUGAUGUUUUCCAUCACGAUAUGCAUACCAUCCAAUUAUUUCCAUAAAACAUGCCAAUUUAAUAUUUCCACAAUUGGAUGACACGAUUUUCAUAAAUUGAUGUGUUUAUGGUACAUUCUAGGAGGACUAAAUAGUAAUUUUUUGACUCAAUUGUAUGGUUGAAGUAAGGUAAAAUGAUUGCAAACUGCAUAUGAUUUUAGAACUUAAAUUUACCUAUAUGUUAGUCCAAGUAAAACUCCUGCGACAAUGCUUGCAUACAUUGCCCCACCAGACCCAAUUAUUUGCCUAGCUACUUAAUCCUAUACUGAACUAUUAAUGAGGGAACUCAUGAACAUAAGGCUGCUUCACUGCUCCAAAUAAAGCUCCUACAAAAUGUAGAAGCUGUCCCGCUUCUUUGUGUUUGAAUCUCUUCAGUUGAGUACUGUUGUAUAAUUAGGAUAAACAGGACACAUCCAUCUAAACUGAGCUUUAUCCUAAUUAUAAUUUCAGAGCUAAUUUUUUUGGUUCUCGUUGAUUUGAAUGGCAACCAGGACAAUGUACAUGGCAGCAGUUUUGGGGAGCAUGUGAGUUCACGUCGAUGAUAAUCAAGGUGAGUACUGAUAUGUAAUGUCUAAAGCUUUUGUAUUUAGAAUAAAAUGUUAUAGUCACCUGCAUGAAAACCUCUUGCUGUGAAAUGCCUAUACAAUCCUUUUUGUAUGUUGCAUGGGAACCAUACAAGAUUUGUGCUUAGACACACAUAGAACUUUUGGGAUCAGUGAUAGGCUGUUCGAAUGAUUAGUUCACCAUAAGGAUUUUUGUUAGUUUCAUUAGUCUAUGCUAUUACUGUGUAAGACAUGCUCCAAAAAGCAUAAAUCUUACCACUGAAUUAGGUCUAUUUAGUUGCUGCAUUGCUACAAAGAAAUUAUGAUCAAGCACUGCAAUUUUAUUCUGUGCAAUUACUCAUCUAGAAUACAUUUAAUUGAUGUUAUUGAAUUGCCAAAACUUACCUUCAUUAUCUUUUUCUGUUUAAAUUCUGAAUGUAAUUGCAGGUACACUUUGUGUGGUACAUAUUUUAGCUUCAAUGAAAUUUAGAGAGAAAUGCAGCUUUCAUAUUUUCUUUCUUAUCUGCACUUCUUACCUAGCGAUGAUAUCAAAUCAUUAACUCUGCGAGGACUUAUAUUUGGUAAGGUAUGUGUAUACCUAUAUGCACUGACAAAAAUAGAUGUUUACUUGAGCCCAUCAUUUAUAUGGUAUAUAUGCAGCUUCUCAUCUUAUUCCGACUUCUGCUGCUCUAAAUUCUAUAUGCAACUUCGGUCUCAUCUUUUUCUGACUCUUGAUGCUCUAAAUUCUACAUAGAUUGCUAAUGGGCAUGGAGGGUAUCAUGAGAUUUAUCCAAGUUUCUUACCAAGGGGCAUCACCCUAUUUUGAAUCUGCAAUGCUGCAAACAAAAGCUACAGGGAAUCAAUCUUAGAAGAAAUUCAGAUAAUCAUCUUUUCUCAACUUUGCUACUGCAAUAGGCGAUGAUAGCUCUACCUUCAUAUACAUUGGCUCAUACUGAGCAACUAAGGCCCUACACACGCAUGGAGCCAAUACAAUCUUUUGCUUUCUAUGGGUACAUUAUCACUUACUAUUUGUAAAUAUUGUUGUUUCCACCUUUCAAGAGACAUUGGAUCCAUACCUAUUUUCUUCGUUUUGGUAGAAGAAAUAUCGAUGCCCUCCCACGGUACAGCUCUCUGCAAUAGCUCUUUGGGUUGAUUCCUACAUUUUACAAUUUAUGAUAUGGCCAGGGCACUUUAAAGCCAUUUUUAAUUUGAUGCAACCCCUAGCAAUGCACUUACAAAUGUAGUGCAAUG